Molecule: ribosomal RNA, 405 nt
Filed under: uncultured bacterium
Lineage: Bacteria
Description: bacterial SSU rRNA
Rfam family: Bacterial small subunit ribosomal RNA
Source: RNAcentral
GAAUAUUGCACAAUGGGCGGAAGCCUGAUGCAGCGACGCCGCGUGAGGGAUGACGGCCUUCGGGUUGUAAACCUCUUUCAGCAGGGACGAAGCGUAAGUGACGGUACCUGCAGAAGAAGCGCCGGCCAACUACGUGCCAGCAGCCGCGGUAAGACGUAGGGCGCGAGCGUUGUCCGGAUUUAUUGGGCGUAAAGAGCUCGUAGGCGGCUUGUCGCGUCGACCGUGAAAACUUGGGGCUCAACCCCAAGCCUGCGGUCGAUACGGGCAGGCUAGAGUUCGGUAGGGGAGACUGGAAUUCCUGGUGUAGCGGUGAAAUGCGCAGAUAUCAGGAGGAACACCGGUGGCGAAGGCGGGUCUCUGGGCCGAUACUGACGCUGAGGAGCGAAAGCGUGGGGAGCGAACAGG